RNAcentral lists this ribosomal RNA (1918 nucleotides) under Triticum aestivum (bread wheat). RNAcentral's name for it is "partial small subunit ribosomal RNA". The record is from RNAcentral. Lineage: Eukaryota; Viridiplantae; Streptophyta; Magnoliopsida; Poales; Poaceae.
GAGGACUGUCGUCGUCGAUCGGUCGAUGAGGACGAAACGAAACGAAGGGGCAGCUCCUUCUUCCUUCUACCCCCCCGCGCCCGCAGAGGGAACGCGACGAGCGGCGGCAGCAGGAGAGGCGGCAGCGACGACGGGGCGUCCAAGCGAAGAAGAGGGGGCUAGCUAGGGCAGCGGCGAGCUCAGUUGAGAGUGUCUAGGCCAGACCAAGCAAUGGUUUGAACGCCUCUAAUCGUUAAAUCGUCCCAUGCCAAAAGGCAAAUCCCUUUGAAACUCCUAGCGUUCGAAUUACCCGGGGCUGGCAGGAGCGGCCCUCCUGGGCGUCGCCUCCCCGGAGGGCGCGGCACGACAACCUCGAGCUACCGCUCGGUCGAAUCCGGUGCGGAAAGGGACUAUUCGAAUACGGUUGUGACUUUGACUUUCAUCUUAUCUCAUCGAGACUUUGUUUUAAGACAAAAACACACACGCGCAUUCUUGUUUUUGGACUAGGAUCGUUCAUUGUAGCUUACCUAUCCUAGUGCUACAAUGCGUCAAUCGGUUUAGUGUAUGAGGGAGGAUAGGUUUAAUAUGAUUUCAACAUGAUCUCGACGCUGUUAAUUAAACCUAUCCUCCAUCAUCAUGUAUAAACGAACUGUAGAGAUACAGGUACGUCGAUCAGCCUCGUCGGUUCCGUCUCGUAAGGGAUCCUUAGUAGGUCUUUCUGUAGUAAGUCUGCCAGUUGUUCGUAGGGUUACGGCCCACCUGCCGACCUGUGUUGGGGAUGAAGCGUUUGAUGUGAUAACUCGUUAAGUUCGUAUAGGACCCUCACUUCGGUUGCGGAGGCCCAAACGAGCGACCACAAGGCUAGUUUUGGGUAGGUCUUAGUCACCCAGAGGGGUUCCUCAAACUGCGAUCUUGAGUUACCAGGUCAACGUCGUGUUAACCCUUGUAUGAACUAGUUCCAGUGACACCACGGACAACCCGGAAACGACGGCACCUUCGAGAGGUCCUAGCAAAGACAUAAGUAGAGUUGUACUCGCAGUGUGAAAGCCAGUUACUGGAUGACCGAACGACACCAAAAGAUACACCAUCGCCAACAUUACCUCCUAUAGGAUAGUCGCGUACCGCGAUGAAGGCAGCGUCACCGCAGCAGUGACUCCUCACGCUAGGUAUGAAGCUAGUCUGACCAACGGUCGUAGGACCUACGCUCGGUCGAAUAGGAUGUGGUUUUACAGUUUCCUUUACGUUCCACCUCUUGGUUCACACCUUCCUUUUAUUCGUAAAGUCACAAUUGCGCAUGUCUCAUGUAAGGUUAGGGGUACUAUAGUACCGUCUCCAGAUGUUUUUACCGGGACAUCUUCAACGAAAGUGGCAAAUACUCCUGAAGCGUGUGAUGUUCAGUCCUCACAUGUUCGUGUAGUGUCCACCGCACUACCCUCCAGUGCGGCAGUUCAACUAGCCAACCCCUUGGUCACUACGACCGCUCCUAAUGACCGAAGAACGUUUAGUCACCUUGUCUCCGACCCCACUACUGCCUAUGAAGUUCUAGUAUUCCCCGUUCUUACUUACACCAUAGCUUCCUCUACAAUGACGGCCAUACGGGAGCUGUUUCUUGUGCCGGUCUUUGUUACUACAGCGGAAACCUUGUCGGCAUGAAACUCGUGGUUGUGCCAACUUAAUCGACGAACGUACAGUUUACUUCGGUGAUUUAAUCGAAACGACCAAGGUCCUAUGACAUGUGAUCACGUUUACGACUAUACAACAGAUCUUUGUCUUCCCUUAUUAUUACAGUUAUUUUUGUAUUCGUACAGUAGAGAAGUUAGUAAUACACGAUACAAAGUAAAAAUCAUACGUUUCAACUAGACAUGGCGUCUCUACUCGAGUACUACUUGUCAUGACAUUUUACCUUCUUAGGUUCAACUCGGCGGUCCGGGAUUGCCAC